Molecule: ribosomal RNA, 253 nt
Filed under: uncultured bacterium
Lineage: Bacteria
Description: partial 16S ribosomal RNA
Rfam family: Bacterial small subunit ribosomal RNA
Source: RNAcentral
UACGUAGGGUGCAAGCGUUAAUCGGAAUUACUGGGCGUAAAGCGUGCGCAGGCGGUUAUGUAAGAACGUUGUGAAAUCCCCGGGCUCAACCUGGGAACUGCAUCUGUGACUGCAUAGCUAGAGUACGGUAGAGGGGGAUGGAAUUCCGCGUGUAGCAGUGAAAUGCGUAGAUAUGCGGAGGAACACCGAUGGCGAAGGCAAUCCCCUGGACCUGUACUGACGCUCAUGCACGAAAGCGUGGGGAGCAAACAGG